RNAcentral lists this ribosomal RNA (253 nucleotides) under uncultured bacterium. RNAcentral describes it as "partial 16S ribosomal RNA". It matches the Rfam family "Bacterial small subunit ribosomal RNA", at positions 524 to 776 of the family's 1533-position model. The record is from RNAcentral.
UACGAAGGGGGCUAGCGUUGUUCGGAUUUACUGGGCGUAAAGCGCACGUAGGCGGAUCGUUAAGUCGGGGGUGAAAUCCUGGAGCUCAACUCCAGAACUGCCUUCGAUACUGGCGAUCUUGAGUCCGGAAGAGGUGAGUGGAACUCCUAGCGUAGAGGUGGAAUUCGUAGAUAUUAGGAAGAACACCAGUGGCGAAGGCGGCUCGCUGGUCCGGUACUGACGCUGAGGUGCGAAAGCGUGGGGAGCAAACAGG